UACAUGCUAAAAACCUCGACUUCGGAAGGGGUGUAUUUAUUAGAUAAAAAACCAAUGCCUUUCGGGGCUCCUUGGUGAUUCAUAAUAACUUAACGAAUCGCAUGGCCUUGUGCCGGCGAUGGUUCAUUCAAAUUUCUGCCCUAUCAACUUUCGAUGGUAGGAUAGUGGCCUACCAUGGUUUCAACGGGUAACGGGGAAUUAGGGUUCUAUUCCGGAGAGGGAGCCUGAGAAACGGCUGCCACAUCCAAGGAAGGCAGCAGGCGCGCAAAUUACCCAAUCCCGACACGGGGAGGUAGUGACAAUAAAUACUGAUACAGGGCUCUUUUGGGUCUUGUAAUUGGAAUGAGUACAAUUUAAAUCCCUUAACGAGGAACAAUUGGAGGGCAAGUCUGGUGCCAGCAGCCGCGGUAAUUCCAGCUCCAAUAGCGUAUAUUAAAGUUGUUGCAGUUAAAAAGCUCGUAGUUGAACCUUGAGCCUGGCUGGCCGGUCCGCCUCACCGCGUGCACUGGUCCGGCCGGGUUUUUCCUUCUGGGGAGCCGCAUGCCCUUCACUGGGUGUGUCGGGGAACCAGGACUUUUACUUUGAAAAAAUUAGAGUGUUCAAAGCAGGCCUAUGCUCGAAUACAUUAGCAUGGAAUAAUAGAAUAGGACGUGUGGUUCUAUUUUGUUGGUUUCUAGGACCGCCGUAAUGAUUAAUAGGGAUAGUCGGGGGCAUCAGUAUUCAAUUGUCAGAGGUGAAAUUCUUGGAUUUAUUGAAGACUAACUACUGCGAAAGCAUUUGCCAAGGAUGUUUUCAUUAAUCAGUGAACGAAAGUUAGGGGAUCGAAGACGAUCAGAUACCGUCGUAGUCUUAACCAUAAACUAUGCCGACUAGGGAUCGGGCGAUGUU
This 888-nucleotide ribosomal RNA is filed under the name Cadophora interclivum. Its description in RNAcentral is "SSU rRNA". It matches the Rfam family "Eukaryotic small subunit ribosomal RNA", at positions 168 to 1064 of the family's 1831-position model. Lineage: Eukaryota; Fungi; Ascomycota; Leotiomycetes; Helotiales; Ploettnerulaceae. The record is from RNAcentral.